GCUGGCGUAGCUCAAUUGGCAGAGCAGCUGACUUGUAAUCAGCAGGUUGAAGGUUCAAGUCCUUUCGCCAGCUCCA
This 76-nucleotide transfer RNA is filed under the name Thermoanaerobacter italicus Ab9. RNAcentral's name for it is "tRNA-Thr (TGT) (tRNA-Thr-TGT-1-1)". It matches the Rfam family "tRNA". From Rfam's summary of the family: Transfer RNA (tRNA) molecules are approximately 80 nucleotides in length. Their secondary structure includes four short double-helical elements and three loops (D, anti-codon, and T loops). Further hydrogen bonds mediate the characteristic L-shaped molecular structure. tRNAs have two regions of fundamental functional importance: the anti-codon, which is responsible for specific mRNA codon recognition, and the 3' end, to which the tRNAs corresponding amino acid is attached (by aminoacyl-tRNA synthetases). tRNAs cope with the degeneracy of the genetic code in two manners: having more than one tRNA (with a specific anti-codon) for a particular amino acid; and 'wobble' base-pairing, i.e. permitting non-standard base-pairing at the 3rd anti-codon position. RNAcentral also lists the same sequence under 2 other names. Lineage: Bacteria; Bacillati; Bacillota; Clostridia; Thermoanaerobacterales; Thermoanaerobacteraceae. The record is from RNAcentral.